AGCCAUGAGAUCAUAUCUGGCGCUGGGCGAGACAGCAAGAGAGACUACAUUUUUGAGAACUUUUCUCAUGGCAGCGUAUGACCUUUUAGAGUAUUUCCAGACAAUAAACUGCAUCUGACUUCUUCAGGGAUGCUGGCUUCAUUGCAUGGAAGCAGGGAGAUGUAUGGCAAAGCAAAGUGGCCCGGCAGGGAACUCCUGUGCCCAUCGCUCCCUGCCAUCUUUUGAAAUGAGCAGGUUUAGCUUUCAGUAGCAUGAAGUGAAAUAAAAAAUGUAGGUGGGAAAAAGAAAAGGCAGGGGAAUAUCCACCUCCACACCCCAUCUCUGGAUUUAUAUAAAUUUUUGUCACAACUACUUAAACAGAUGAGAGUAGUAAAACAAAUCCCUACAGGUUUUUCUUAUUUUCAGUCCUACCAUUGAAUUUCUCAGGUACCUAUUAAUCUUUCAUACAUCAAAAGGGAUUUUAAACAACGGGUUUUGUAGGCAAAGCUGUAAGAAACUACAGAAAAGAACUGGAUUUCUUUUUUUUUUGUUAUUUUUAAAGACAAGCAACUGUUUUAAUUCAGUGACCCUCUAAGUAUGGAACAGAUGUGGAUCUGUUAUGAAUGCAGAUGUGGAACAGAUUUCUUCUAGCAAAGGCUUCCUAAGUUAAUAGUCUUAUCUGGAUAUUUAAAAGAUUUCCGUAAUGAAUGAACAAAACAACUUAAAUGACCAUAAGCAGAUUUCUUAUCCACUUAAACUGAUCCGGUGGAUGAAUAAUCGGCAUGUUGACCUGGUGGAUAAGUAUUCAACAAGCCAAACCAUUCACCAAAUUUUCCAUUUACUCACUUUCCCAUUCUGAGCACUGUGAUGAAAACUAAAGCUCUAGAAAAAAUAUCUGCUCUAGUGAAAUAAAAAAUGAGCUUCUGACAUUUUCCUGCCUUAGCCAUGGCCAUAAUUCACUGACAGUAACACAUGGAAGAAGAUUCCUUGGUAUGGGAGUGUCAGGAAAACGCAGCACUACCAAGACUCCUAAGUCUACCAGCAAGCUGGCAAAAGAGCAAGAAUUGAAAAUUAAAAAGAAGAAAAAAAUUACUAUUUAAACCUUGCUUUCUAUUCAGAGUAGACACAGUAAAUGACUGGAUUUCAAAGCUACACAGUCAAGUCCAUUCUAGUGUAAUUAAGUUCCUCAAAAAAGUCAGAAAGCUUAUUUACUUUUUUCCAUUGGGAAUCAUUAACUACGCAUUAAGAACCCCAGUCACAAUACCAAACCUGGCACAGGCUUGAUAAAGCUUGCUAGCAGCUGCAGCAAAGCCAGCAUACAGCCUGAAAGCACAUUUUAGGGGCCAGAUUAUCUUGGUUGCUACUUGAGAAGACAAGCCAAUGCCAGCAUCAGAAAGAGAAGACUGCAGUUUCUACGUCCCUGCCUCUCAUGUGAUCCCUGCAGCCAUGGCUUGAAAAAGAGCAUCAGAACACAGUGCAUGAACUCUUAGAGUCAUACAGCCACAUAAGCACUGCAGUUAACACUUUGGAAUAAUGAUUGCCUUCCAGCCUGAGCAUGACCCAUUGGAACAAACAAAACUUAGAAAAUCAGCAUAGGCAGCUGAAGGUGAAAACUGCAACCAUAGAAGCGAGAGAGAAUGAAAAGGCAUUUCGUAUCACCUCCUAUGCUUAAAUUUAUGCAGCACUAGUAGUACAGUAGAGCACUUGAAGGCUAUAAAUGCAACAAACCCAUGUGCAUCCUCUCCCCAUCCCCAUCUUCUGUAAGAAGGGAGAACAGUAGAGGAGCAAAGCAUUGUGGACAAAUCCAGAAAUACACUGCUGAACUCAAGAAACCUCUUGGUGGAGAAACAUGAAUCUUUCAGGUCAGUAACCAAGGCUGCAAAUAUCAUUUCAGAGCUGUGAUGUAUUGUACAGCAGCAUGUUAAAAUUACUGUUGUGAGCACUCAAAGCACAGUAGCUCUACUCAGAGUCCAGUUAAUGAAUGUACAGGAAAUGCAGUACUAAAGUCCUGUGGCAUAUACACAUGCAUACGCUCCUGUCAGCUAACCUAUAAACAUUAUGCGCACUAAAUCUGAAGUCACAGUCCUGGUCUAUUUUUUGCCAUUCUUCCCAUAAGAGAAACUAAAAAUAGGCCCAUGGGAACAGUGCAUGGGACUCUAAUCUUCAAAUCUUUAACUCUUACGGUAAAAAUUGUCUAGCAAUGCUUUUGAAGGGAUUCUUCAUGGAGUCUGCAUAAUAUAUUUAUGUAUCUAAGCACACCUACGUAUACAGGGAUAAUGAUAACCAUGAGAAAUUCUGGAUGCACACUACUGACUGGUUGCACACAUCUUCAAAGUUUGCUCAUAAAUGAUCUAUGAAGCUAAAAAUAAAGAUGCAGGGAAACCUGAGUAUGACCUCUUGUAACUCUCAACUUCUGCUCAUAGGCACAGGAUUAGGGGGAAAAAAAAAACCAAAAAAAAAACAGUUUUCUGAAGAACUGCUGUUAUGCUAUCAAGUAAAGCUACAGAGCUGGGUGCCAAAGAAUAUUGCCACUACUCUGCAGAAAGGAAAUUGUUAAAUUUAAAAUAAAAGAUACAUCAGUAAGGAGAAAAAAAAAAAAACAACCC
Long non-coding RNA from Lagopus muta (rock ptarmigan), 2585 nucleotides. RefSeq lists it as uncharacterized. The transcript has 3 exons. The record is from RefSeq and is a predicted model, not a curated record. Lineage: Eukaryota; Metazoa; Chordata; Aves; Galliformes; Phasianidae.